CCAGGAGCCACCAGUGCUCCAUGAUGAGGCUGAGGGACAAAUCCCCCCUGGCUUUGCAAUCAGGGAACAGGCUGGCUGGUAAGUGACUGGAAUGGUGACCUUCCCCUGCCCAACAAAACACAUCUUUGUCAAAGUGGAGCAGAUAAACAGCUUUCCAGCCCCAGCUCAAACACCAAGGAUUUCCUGCCACCAUAAAGCUGUAAUUGCUGAAUUAAUAACAGCAGGGUUUGAAGAGUGACUGCACAGACUCUCUGACCCAGGUCAGAGGCCAUCCAUGCCCUCCAGAGGAGCUCCUGUGCUUCCCUCUUGGAGAUGCAGGGUUACCAGCCAAGACAAGAAGUUUAGAAGUGCUGGCUGUAUCAGAAGGAAGUGGCAGAAGUGGAGUGAGGGAAAAAUGCAUGUCCACAGAUUACAGACAGAAAACCAGAAUAAUUUUGCCAUGUGA
Molecule: long non-coding RNA, 445 nt
Filed under: Taeniopygia guttata (zebra finch)
Lineage: Eukaryota; Metazoa; Chordata; Aves; Passeriformes; Estrildidae
Description: lncRNA (ENSTGUG00000022967.1)
Source: RNAcentral